This 71-nucleotide transfer RNA is filed under the name Thermoplasma acidophilum. RNAcentral describes it as "tRNA-Trp". It matches the Rfam family "tRNA". Rfam says of the family: Transfer RNA (tRNA) molecules are approximately 80 nucleotides in length. Their secondary structure includes four short double-helical elements and three loops (D, anti-codon, and T loops). The record is from RNAcentral. Lineage: Archaea; Methanobacteriati; Thermoplasmatota; Thermoplasmata; Thermoplasmatales; Thermoplasmataceae. RNAcentral also lists the same sequence under 4 other names.
GGGGACAUGGGGUAAUGGCAUCCUGACGGGCUCCAGACCCGUAGAUCUGGGUUCAACUCCCAGUGUCCCCA